AGACAGACCCAAAGCUUCCCACACCAAUCAAAUUUUCCGAAGAGAGCCCAUCAGUUGCCUUAAGAAUCAUGUCAUAUGAAAUCUUCUGAAAUGACCUUAUUUGCAAGGAAGUAGGUGAUUGCUCCCUUUUCUUCUUCUUGAACCUAUAAUACAUGGCAGUUGACAGUAUAGUAAUGCCAAAAACAAUUGAAAUGGCGACCACAGCUAUUUUGACAAGACGCAGUUUGCUUCUCUUUGUUGCUUCAACAGGGCAUCUUGGCAAAUGUAGCUCAAGUAUACCUCCACAAAGCAUACUGUUUCCUGCAACUGAUAUUGCAC
This 318-nucleotide unclassified non-coding RNA is filed under the name Hevea brasiliensis (rubber tree). Lineage: Eukaryota; Viridiplantae; Streptophyta; Magnoliopsida; Malpighiales; Euphorbiaceae. The record is from RNAcentral.